GAUCAGAUAAAUAGGACUUAAUCUGCUGGAAUAAAGGAUGAGUUUCAGGAAUAUCAUCAAGAUUAAUAUUCGGAGUUUGCGAUUGUGAGGACGAUGCCUCCUGAGAGAUUCGGGUAUUAACCAAAGUUCGAUUCCCAUGUUGGAUUACAGGGAAAUUAGAACUUGUUGUGCUAUAAGCAGAGUUUCUGGUACUUCGUGGAUAAGAAGGAUUCGUUCGUCCUCCAUGGUGCAAAUAUGCAGGAUUUUGAUUUCUACCUCGACCUCUUCCUCUGGCUAUUUGCCAAGGGGGAUCAGCCAUACUGCAAAGAAGCAUCAUUAUUUAGUCUUUUAUAUCAAUAUCAUACCAGUCAUUGUCAGUAUUCUCUGGGGUGGUAUACCACCAUAAUUCAUUAUGUAUUAGUUGGAACCACCAUAGGUCAUUCAAAACAAGCUUAUGAAUGAGAGUUUCUAAUAUCAAUUUCUGAAUAUCUUUAGGUAAAGGAAUACUUUGAAGAAUUGCAAGAAUUGUUUUUUCAGAGAGAAAACGGGUAUAGAAAGUCAUAUUAAAUAUUCGCGUGAUAAAAAAUCAGGUAAUGAAUUUUCACUACCCUUUUUAUACUGAAUUUCGUAAUCUUUUUAUACUGUAUUUCAAAGUCAAAGGGGGCUAGUUGAGCCUGCCACCUGGCAAAUAUUAAUUUAGAAGCAUCGUGUUUAAAAUCUUUAUCAAACAUGAAUUUAACAGAUUGAGCAUCCGUUCUGAUGAUGAAUUUUUGAUUAUAUAAAUCAUCUUGGAAUUUUAAUACACAUUUAACAAUAGUAAGCAUUUCAUGGGCUAUCGUAGCGUAUUUCUUUUGGCUAUCGGUCCAUUUACCUGAAUAAAAACGAAUUAAACAUUCUGUCUUUGUAUGGGGAUUAACUUGUUUAAGUAUUCCACCAUACCCAAUAUUGGAAGCGUCGGUUUCAACAAUUUUUUGCCAAUUAGGAUUAGCAAGAGAAAUACAGGGAAGAGAUUGAACCCGAGCUUUAAUUACCUUUACCAAAUUAGUGUGGGCUGGAGUCCACGGAGUUUUGUGAUCCUUUUUCAGUCUGUCAUACAGAGGGGCUAAAUCUCUAGACAAAUUUUUAUAAAAAGGAGAAAUAUAAUUGAGACUACCAAGGAACCUUUGAAGCUGUUUUUUAUCGAUAAUUUCAUCGGGGAAUUUUGUAGCGAAUUCUAAGACCCGUUGGAUCGGUUCAAUAGAGCCUUGACAAAUAUUAUGACCUAAGAAUCUAACAUUAGUCUGGAAUAAACUCAUUUUUGGUUUGGAGAUGACUAAGCCAUUUUGAAUAAUUACUUGCUUAAAAAUAUGCAGAUGUUUAAAAUGAUUGUCAAGAGUUUUGGAGAAUACCAGAAUAUCAUCAAUAUACACAACAAUGAAGUCCAUGUAUGGAUUAAAAAUAUCAUUCAUAAUUUUCUGAAAUUCAGAAGGGGCGUUUUUCAAACCAAAAGGCAUAACGUUCCAUUCAUAUUGUCCAAACGGAACAUUAAACGCGGUUUUAUAAGUAUGAGUUUUAUCAAUUUGAAUUUGCCAAUAUCCUGAUUUUAAAUCAAAUUUGGAAAAUAUGUUAGCGUCAUAUAAUCGGGAAAGUAAAUCUUUUUUAUUUGGAAUAGGAUAUCGAAUCCAUUUUAAAACUUUGUUAAGAGGUUUGUAAUUGAUGACUAACCGAGGUGUACCCCUUUCUUUUUCGGCAGCAUUGUUAACAUAAAAAGCGGUACAAGACCAAGGGGAUUUUGAGGGUUUAAUGAGACCCUUUUGCAGGAGUUGAUCAAUCUCCCUUUUGCAGAAUUCAACUAACUCUGCAUUCAUUUGACAGGGUCGAGAUUUUGUUGGAAUUUUUUCUUCAGUGAAGCCGUCCUCAUAAGGAAGCGAAACAAUAUGCUUUUUUCUAUUCCAGAAAGCAUUUGGAUGGUCAGCACAAAUAUCAUUCAUUAAUUGUGAAGAAACAGUCUUUAAUUUUUCUUGUACUUUAACAGAUUUUAUAAUCUCAGGGGUAGUAAUACUCAGUACUUCUAAUUGUAAAAAAUUGAGCUGUUUUUGCUUUAUAUUAAUAAGAGCAUUAAUAUCACGAGUUACAGGUUGAGUAACAAAAGAAUAAGAAAUAGGCUGAUUUUUAUAAGUAGCUCUAAAUCCCUUUUCGUCUAUAUGAGUGUAGGGAUAUAUAGCAUUUAUAAACGGGGUUCCUAAAAUAAUAGGAGGAUAAAUCUGAUUUUUCACUAAAAAGAAAAAGUGAGGAAUGCAUAUCUUGUCACGACAAAUAUGAGCAUGAGGCAGUUUAUAAUUAAUGUCAAGUGAGUGACCAGUUGCAGAUUUAACGAGGUGAGUAGUUUUUUCAAAAUAUUUUGUAGGGAUUAACCCUUCUUGAAUACAACUAACGUCUGCCCCACUGUCAAUCAUGGCGACAUUAGUGAUAAAGAAUUCCUUAUUAACUAAAAUGGUACAAUUAAUAUACCAUUUAUGAGCAGUAACGAUUUGCAACAUUCCUAGAAAGGAAUCAUUUUGCAGACUAUCAAUAUUAACCGUUUGACUAAGAUCAGUAUUUGUAAAAUCUUUUUCGUUUGGCUUGUGACCUGAAGAAGAACAAUCAGUUUCUUCAAGUUUCGAAAUGCGAUGCUCAGUAAUUAUCUGAUUUUGUUUUAAAGAAAUAAUUUCCCUUUUUAGUUUUUCAACUUCGAUUUUUAAAUCAUUAAAAGUGGUAUCGCGACCGGGAAUUUUGCUUAAAGCUAACCUUCGAUGAACUUCAUCCAAAGAAUAUGCCAUAGGCUGAGUUUCAAAAUUAUCUCGUGCUGAAACAGUAGAACUAGAAGAUUUUGGAGUGGCUAAAUGCAAAAUUUUGUCACGAAGCUUUUCGUCCGUGACUUCCUUUAACAAUUCGAGAACAUUUUCAGAAGUAAUGGUUUUAACAUCUAAAUCAACAUCUUCAAAUUGAGCUUGAAGUUUGUACAUUACUUCAUCACAAUUGCAAUCAUGAUUAUCACAA
RNAcentral lists this long non-coding RNA (2997 nucleotides) under Capsicum annuum. RNAcentral's name for it is "long non-coding RNA (CANN_LNC008102)". The record is from RNAcentral. Lineage: Eukaryota; Viridiplantae; Streptophyta; Magnoliopsida; Solanales; Solanaceae.